Molecule: ribosomal RNA, 492 nt
Filed under: uncultured bacterium
Lineage: Bacteria
Description: partial 16S ribosomal RNA
Rfam family: Bacterial small subunit ribosomal RNA
Source: RNAcentral
AGUGAACGCUGGCGGUAGGCCUAACACAUGCAAGUCGAACGGCAGCACAGUAAGAGCUUGCUCUUACGGGUGGCGAGUGGCGGACGGGUGAGGAAUACAUCGGAAUCUACUUUUUCGUGGGGGAUAACGUAGGGAAACUUACGCUAAUACCGCAUACGACCUACGGGUGAAAGCAGGGGAUCUUCGGACCUUGCGCGAUUGAAUGAGCCGAUGUCGGAUUAGCUAGUUGGCGGGGUAAAGGCCCACCAAGGCGACGAUCCGUAGCUGGUCUGAGAGGAUGAUCGGCCACACUGGAGCUGAGACACGGUCCAGACUCCUACGGGAGGCAGCAGUGGGGAAUGUUGGACAAUGGGCGCAAGCAUGAUCCAGCCAUACCGCGUGGGUGAAGAAGGCCUUCGGGUUGUAAAGCCCUUUUGUUGGGAAAGAAAAGCAGCAGGUUAAUACCCCGCUGUUCUGACGGUACCCAAAGAAUAAGCACCGGCUAACUUCGUG